This 2171-nucleotide ribosomal RNA is filed under the name Neophocaena asiaeorientalis asiaeorientalis (Yangtze finless porpoise). RNAcentral's name for it is "eukaryotic LSU rRNA". The stretch from base 1006 to 1944 matches the Rfam family "Eukaryotic large subunit ribosomal RNA", at positions 1890 to 3399 of the family's 3401-position model. The record is from RNAcentral. Lineage: Eukaryota; Metazoa; Chordata; Mammalia; Artiodactyla; Phocoenidae.
CCUCUCACUGUUGUGGCCUCUCCCGUUGUGGAGCACAGGCUCUGGAGGCACAGGCUCAGCGGCCAUGGCUCACGGGCCCAGCCGCUCCGCAGCAUGUGGGAUCUUCCCGGACCAGGGCAUGAACCCGUGUACCCUGCAUUGGCAGGCGGACUCUCAACCACUGCACCACCAGGGAAGCCCUAAGCAUUUUUUUUAAUAUAAGCAUUCUUAAGAUCACUUUUCCAUAAGCUAUGAGAAUGUCCCCAGAGCAUUUUCUCUGGUUCUCUUAUAUGCUUGUGGAUUUUUAUUUGUUUGUUUCCAUUUUAUUUUUCUUUUUUAAUUGAAAGUUGCAAAAGCUUAACAUUAGGAUCAGGCAAAAUCUUAUAUUCAUUUCCCAUACCAGCAGCUUCACUUCCAGAAGGUUAAGGGUCCUAAGGGUUUAAAGCUUCAUCUACCACAAACGUUCUCAAUUCUUCUUGCACCUUAGAAUCACCUGGGGAGUUUAAACAACUCCCAAUGCUUCUGUGCCACUGCCACCAGAGAUUCUGAUUGGCCACGGAUGGGGCCCAGGAAUGGCAAUUUAGAAGCUCCAGAGUGGAUUCUAAUAUGUAAGCAGGGUUGAGAAGCUCUCUCUUUAUUCUUUUUUUAUUUUUUUUGGGGGGGGGGGUCUUUUAACAUCCUUUACAUUUUAUACAAUCUUCAUAUACUUUUAAAUAGCUAAUUUCAAUGGGAGAUUUGUUAAGCCAAAGAAAAAUAUUUAGAGUUUCAUAAUAUGUAGAUUUGUUCAAGUUUUCAUGUAAAUCCUGUGUUUUCAAGCAAUAUUAAUUUAUUACUCAAUUAUGAUAAAUAUUCACAGUAAGUGGACUAAACUGUUUUCUCAGAAUUUACACUUUUAAAUGUUUCCUACUGUACUUAACAUCCUCCACUAGGUACCACAAUGCUAGGUAUCUUCAAUGCUAAACAUUUUAUAUUAUACAUGCCAAUAAAUUAUAAAAACAAUUUAUUGGCAUAUAUAUAUAUAUAUAUAUUUAUAUAUAUAAAUUUGGAAGUAAUUAGUUCCUAAAUAUUCUUUUUAAAUGUGCUUCUACUUUAAAUUCAGUCUUCCACCAAGCUGAACAGGUGAUUGGUACAAAGGUAAUUUAAUGAAAAUUGCUCUUUAAAGAAAGCUUACUUCACAAAGGCCAGUGAUGGGUGUUGACAUGAUGUGAUUUCUGCCCAGUGCUCUGAAUGUCAAAGUGAAGAAAUUCAGUGAAGCUUGGGUAAAUGGUGGGAGUAACUAUGACUCUCUUCAGGUAGCCAAAUACCUUGUCAUCUAAUUAGUGGUGCACAUGAAUGAAUGAAUGAGAUUCCCAUUGUCCCUACCUACUAUCCAGCGAAAACACAACCAAGGGAACAGGCUUGGUGGAAUCAGAGGAGAAAGAAGACCUUGUAGAGCUUAACUCUAGUCUGGCAUGGUGAAAAGAAUGAGAGAUGUAGAAUAAGUGGGAGGCCACUGGCACACUCCGGUCCCUGUGAGAGGGUGGGGUGGGGUCCACCGGACUUGCAGGCUGCCAGUGAAAUACCACUACUCUGAUCAUUUUUUCACUGACCUGGUGAGGUGGGGGAGGAGGGGGGCUAGCCCCGAGGGGCUUUUGCUUCUGGAACCGAGUGCCCAGACACACUCUGGCCAUGAGUGACCCACUCCAAGGACAGUGCCAGUUAGGGAGUUUGACUGGGGUGGUACAACUGUCAAAUGGUAAUGUAGGUGUCCUAAGGGGAGUUCAGGGAGGACAGAAACUUCUUGUGGAGCAGAAGGGCAAAAGCUCACUUGAUCUUGAUUUUCAGUAUGAAUACAGAGCAUGAAGGUGGGGCCUCAAAAUUCUUCUGACCUUUGGGGUUUUAAGCAGGACGUGUCUGAAAAAUUACCACAAGGAUAAUUGACAGUAACACAAUAAUAGUAGGGAACUUUAACACCCCACUCACAACAAUGGACAGAUUAUCCAAACAGAAAAUAAAUAAGGAAACACAAAGUUUAAAUGACACAUUAGACCAGAUGGACUUAAUUGAUACUUAUAGGACAUUCCAUCCAAAAACAACAGAAUACACUUUCUUCGCAAGUGCAUGUGGAACAUUAUGCAGGAUAGAUCACAUCUUGGGUCACAACUUAAGCAUAGGUAAAUUUAAGAAAACUGAAAUCACAUCAAGCAUCUUUU